CAAAACCCCAUUCUUAACUCUAAACCCUAAGUCUAAAUUAGUUAACCGUAGGUAUAAAUGUAUUUUUAAUCUUUAAUAAAACUUCUUUGGUCAUUUUUUUUAUUGAGAGCUAUUUUUGUGACAAAAAAUUAAAAAUGGCUAUCAUAGGGAAUUUUUCUAUAUUGUAUAUUUAUUUAUUCUAUUUUUUGUUUUUAUAUCAAAUCGUAAUAUUAUGAUAUAUGUUUAAUGUAAUUUUUUUAUUUCUUAUAUUCUAUAUUUUCAUAUUAUUUAUUUAACUAUACAUUUUUCGGAUAGAUGUUCAAUUUAUUUUUUUCAUUUUUUAUAUUGUAAAGUUACUUACUGUUUAUCUUUUCUUAUUUUUAUAUUUACUUAUUCUAAAUUUCUGGCAUUUAUAUCAAUGAUAUUAUUACGAUAUAUAUAUUUAAUGUAAUAAUUUAAUUUCUUAUAUACUAUAUUUACUUAUUAUUUAUUAUUUCUUAAUUUUAUAUUUGCAUAUUCUAAUAUUAUGUGUUUAAUAUAAUAUUUAUAUUUAUUAUAUUGUGUAUUUAGUUAUUAUUUAUUUUACUAUACAAUUUUCAAAUAGAUGUUUAAUUUAAUUUUUUUCAGUUCUUCAUCAUAUAUUUA
RNAcentral lists this long non-coding RNA (624 nucleotides) under Brassica rapa (field mustard). RNAcentral's name for it is "long non-coding RNA (BRAP_LNC004420)". The record is from RNAcentral. Lineage: Eukaryota; Viridiplantae; Streptophyta; Magnoliopsida; Brassicales; Brassicaceae.